GUAUCUCCGAGGAGGGGGGUUCGCCGCGCCCUGCUCCGGCCCAAUCGGCCGUGCAGCGGGUCCGCGUCCCCCGACUCGCAAACCCAACACAAACCCUGUGCUCCUUUCACGGCCAGAGGGGGGGGAGCCGUCGGCGAAAGCUGCGUGUGCCCCCCCGAAGCCGCAUUAAACAAACCCCAGUUCAAAAGAAUGUCAAGCGGACUCUGUGCCGUCUACAACUGAAACAACUUUCAACAACGGAUCUCUUGGCUCU
RNAcentral lists this unclassified non-coding RNA (253 nucleotides) under rhizosphere metagenome. RNAcentral describes it as "partial ribosomal RNA internal transcribed spacer region". The record is from RNAcentral.